CACGGAGGAUGCGAGCGUUAUCCGGAUUUAUUGGGUUUAAAGGGUGCGUAGGCGGGAUGCCAAGUCAGCGGUAAAAAUGCGGUGCUCAACGCCGUCGAGCCGUUGAAACUGGCGUUCUUGAGUGGGCGAGAAGUAUGCGGAAUGCGUGGUGUAGCGGUGAAAUGCAUAGAUAUCACGCAGAACUCCGAUUGCGAAGGCGGCAUACCGGCGCCCUACUGACGCUGAGGCACGAAAGCGUGGGUAUCGAACAGG
RNAcentral lists this ribosomal RNA (252 nucleotides) under uncultured bacterium. Its description in RNAcentral is "partial 16S ribosomal RNA". It matches the Rfam family "Bacterial small subunit ribosomal RNA", at positions 524 to 776 of the family's 1533-position model. The record is from RNAcentral.